This is a long non-coding RNA of Cyanistes caeruleus (blue tit), 467 nucleotides long. RefSeq lists it as uncharacterized. The record is from RefSeq and is a predicted model, not a curated record. NCBI's taxonomy places the organism in Eukaryota, Metazoa, Chordata, Aves, Passeriformes, Paridae.
UAAAGGUCGCGUUGCCACUACUAAGCCGUUCAUGUUCUAGGGGGAAGCCCUCAACUCUAUGAACUUAUUUUCCAGCGGGAUUCAGAGACACCUGACCUGCUACUGAUCUCACUGAAUGGUCAUUAUCAUGUGCUCACACUGUCCUGUUAGGAGGCUAACAUAUCUAAUACUGCAGUUCACAGACAGUGUGUUGCAUGGUACUAUUGUUACAACAAUUCUCAAUUGCUUCAGUCAACAGCCUCCAAAGUUGCAAACACAAAAAAGCAAGAGGUGUAUUCAGUCUGCAAACCAUGGUAUGAUGAAUGAGAAGUGACUCAAAAAUAUGAAUGACAAUUCAUUAAGCCUAUGGAAGAAAACACAUAGAAGAAGAAGAGAAAAAAAAAUCAUGCUAACAGGAUCCUCUACUUCUGGAACUCUUGACUCACUGCUCAUCAGACUUUCCUCUGAAAAUCACAGGCUUCCUGUGA